Molecule: non-coding RNA, 65 nt
Filed under: Pteridomonas danica
Lineage: Eukaryota; Dictyochophyceae; Pedinellales
Source: RNAcentral
UAAAGCUGUUGGCUUUGGUAAUGAAACGAAACAUGAUGGUGGUGAUGAUGAUGAUGAAGAAGAAG